UACAGAGGUCUCAAGCGUUGUUCGGAUUCAUUGGGCGUAAAGGGUGCGUAGGCGGCGCUGUAAGUCGGGUGUGAAAUCUCGGAGCUUAACUCCGAAACUGCAUUCGAUACUGCCGUGCUUGAGGACUGGAGAGGAGGCUGGAAUUUACGGUGUAGCGGUGAAAUGCGUAGAUAUCGUAAGGAAGACCAGUGGCGAAGGCGGGUCUCUGGACAGUUACUGACGCUGAGGCACGAAGGUCAGGGGAGCAAACGGG
Molecule: ribosomal RNA, 253 nt
Filed under: uncultured bacterium
Lineage: Bacteria
Description: partial 16S ribosomal RNA
Rfam family: Bacterial small subunit ribosomal RNA
Source: RNAcentral